This 276-nucleotide unclassified non-coding RNA is filed under the name Hevea brasiliensis (rubber tree). Lineage: Eukaryota; Viridiplantae; Streptophyta; Magnoliopsida; Malpighiales; Euphorbiaceae. The record is from RNAcentral.
CUCCUCCUGCAAGAGCUUCAGGCAGUGUGGGUCCUCGCCCUCCUGGACCACCUCCUCCACCAACUGUGACUUCUGGUGCCAAAUCUGGUCCAUCUCCACCACCACCUCCAAAGGGCGGUCCAGCUCCUCCCCGACCACCACCACCGUUGCCCAUGGGUUCAAAGGUUCCUCGCCCACCUUCUGGAUUAAAGCGUCCCCCUAAUGCAGCACCAGUUGAAGGAGAUGGUGCAGAGGGUGAUGCCAAUACUCCUAAAGCCAAGCUGAAGCCAUUUUUCU